RNAcentral lists this small RNA (93 nucleotides) under Salmonella enterica. Its description in RNAcentral is "partial RtT sRNA". It matches the Rfam family "RtT RNA", at positions 40 to 130 of the family's 130-position model. From Rfam's summary of the family: This family represents a bacterial cis-regulatory element known as RtT RNA. The exact function of RtT is unknown although it is thought that it may be involved in changing the cellular response in relation to amino acid starvation. The record is from RNAcentral. Lineage: Bacteria; Pseudomonadati; Pseudomonadota; Gammaproteobacteria; Enterobacterales; Enterobacteriaceae. RNAcentral also lists the same sequence under 2 other names.
GGUUCGAUUCGAGCGAAAGCGAGAAAGCGUUGCCGCAGGCAACGACCCGAAGGGCGAAGCGCGCAGCGCUGAGUCAUCCUUCCCCCACCACCA